RNAcentral lists this transfer RNA (91 nucleotides) under Magnetococcales bacterium. Its description in RNAcentral is "tRNA-Ser". It matches the Rfam family "tRNA". Rfam says of the family: Transfer RNA (tRNA) molecules are approximately 80 nucleotides in length. Their secondary structure includes four short double-helical elements and three loops (D, anti-codon, and T loops). The record is from RNAcentral. Lineage: Bacteria; Pseudomonadati; Pseudomonadota; Magnetococcia; Magnetococcales.
GGGGAGAUGGCCGAGCGGUUGAAGGCGGCACCCUGCUAAGGUGUUAUAUCCGAAUAGGGUAUCGAGGGUUCGAAUCCCUCUCUCUCCGCCA